Long non-coding RNA from Camelus dromedarius (Arabian camel), 446 nucleotides. RefSeq lists it as uncharacterized. NCBI's taxonomy places the organism in Eukaryota, Metazoa, Chordata, Mammalia, Artiodactyla, Camelidae. The record is from RefSeq and is a predicted model, not a curated record. The transcript is spliced from 4 exons.
ACUGCUUAGAGAGAAAGAAACCAUAUCGAGUUUAACGCAUAGUUAUUUUGUCUUGUUUCACGUUGUUGUUUUGUAAUGUGGAGCUGAACUUGAUCCUGACAGCCACGUAGAGACCACACAGACGUUAUGGAACAUGCAGAGAACAGCAGCGAGGUCACAGGAAGGCCAGGUACCCAUCUCCUCUGCUAAUCGGCUCAGCAGCGAGUGAGGUAGCCUCCUGUGGCAGUCGGCGUCUGGAUGAACAGUAAGGAACAUGGUCUGCAUGUUCUCUCGGCCACCACCCGCCUUCCCUGGUCUGCGAACAAGAACCACCAAUCAGCAUCUAUUCAUGUAACACCGGGAAGAUGAAUGAAGUGUGGAUUUUUUGAUCAAGAGUGGCCACAUGUUUCUCAACUGAUUCAUUAUCGAUGUGGGUAGACCAACUGGCUUCAUAAUUUAGGUAAGAG